RNAcentral lists this ribosomal RNA (468 nucleotides) under uncultured bacterium. Its description in RNAcentral is "partial 16S ribosomal RNA". It matches the Rfam family "Bacterial small subunit ribosomal RNA", at positions 28 to 507 of the family's 1533-position model. The record is from RNAcentral.
GAUGAACGCUGGCGGCGUGCUUAACACAUGCAAGUCGAACGGUGAAGGCGGAGCUUGCUCUGCUGGAUCAGUGGCGAACGGGUGAGUAACACGUGAGCAAUCUGCCCCUGACUCUGGGAUAAGCGCUGGAAACGGCGUCUAAUACUGGAUACGAGCUGCGAAGGCAUCUUCAGCAGCUGGAAAGAACUUCGGUCAGGGAUGAGCUCGCGGCCUAUCAGCUUGUUGGUGAGGUAACGGCUCACCAAGGCGUCGACGGGUAGCCGGCCUGAGAGGGUGACCGGCCACACUGGGACUGAGACACGGCCCAGACUCCUACGGGAGGCAGCAGUGGGGAAUAUUGCACAGUGGGCGAAAGCCUGAUGCAGCAACGCCGCGUGAGGGACGACGGCCUUCGGGUUGUAAACCUCUUUUAGCAGGGAAGAAGCGAAAGUGACGGUACCUGCAGAAAAAGCGCCGGCUAACUACGUG